AUAUGUCAUAAAUUCUCUUAAGGAACCAACCCCAUCAGAUCUUGGAAGUUAAGCAGAGUCAGGCAUGGUUAGUAUUUGGAUGGGAGACCACCAAUGAAUCCCAAGUGGAACUGAAU
Molecule: ribosomal RNA, 116 nt
Filed under: Anolis carolinensis (green anole)
Lineage: Eukaryota; Metazoa; Chordata; Lepidosauria; Squamata; Anolidae
Source: RNAcentral